GUGUGUCACUUUUGAUAAGGUAAAGGAAAAUAAAUGAUAUUACUUUACUAUUAGUGUCGUCCAAAUACUCGUGCCAGAAGACUCGGUAAGGCGAGAGACGCAAACGUUAGUCGUCUUGAUCAGGCGUAAAGGGUUUGUAGGCGGCUUUAAGAAUUGAUUUCUUCUAAAUAACAAUUAUAUUUUUUUUAAUAUAAUCAAUUGAAAAAAUGAAUCAAUUAAAGCUAGAAUCAAAUAGAGGUUAAAUUAAAUAAUACUUGGUGUAAGAUUGGUAUCUGAAAAAACCAAGCGGAAUACUAACGGCGAAGGCUUUUUUCCAUUAAUGAUUGACGCUGAGAAACUAAGGUGAGGACAGAAAAAAGGAUUAGAGACCCUCGUAUUCCUCACUGUCAACGAUGAAUGGUAGUUACUAGAUAAAAUGAAUAAUUCAUUAAAGAAAUCUAGAGAUGAUGUUAACACGUAAACCAUUCCGCCUUGUGAGUACGACUGCAAAGUUGAAAACAAAAAAAUGAGUNCGGUUUCGGAGCAAACGAAGUGAAGCAUGUUAUUUA
This 548-nucleotide ribosomal RNA is filed under the name Xylodon pingbianensis. Its description in RNAcentral is "Xylodon sp. JD-2023c partial small subunit ribosomal RNA". It matches the Rfam family "Bacterial small subunit ribosomal RNA", at positions 421 to 948 of the family's 1533-position model. Lineage: Eukaryota; Fungi; Basidiomycota; Agaricomycetes; Hymenochaetales; Schizoporaceae. The record is from RNAcentral.